Molecule: transfer RNA, 77 nt
Filed under: Cordylochernes scorpioides
Lineage: Eukaryota; Metazoa; Arthropoda; Arachnida; Pseudoscorpiones; Chernetidae
Description: tRNA-Thr
Source: RNAcentral
GUUUUAAGGGCAGCCUAGUGGACAUGGCAUCUGCCCAGUAAGCGGAACACUCUGGGUUCGAUUCCCAUCCCUGGACA